AGAAGGCUGAGCUCAUCAAAAGGUCGAGCUCAUCAGAAAACUAACAUUAGAAGUCUCAAAAAGUCGAGCUUAUCAGAAAACCAAUCUCAAAAGAUUAAGAAGGCAAGUUCAUCAGAAGGCCAACCUCAAAAGGCCAAAAAGAUCGAGAAGAUCAAGAAAGCCAAGCUCAUUAAAAAACCAAUCUCAGAAGGUCAAAGAGGU
This 201-nucleotide long non-coding RNA is filed under the name Elaeis guineensis (African oil palm). RNAcentral's name for it is "long non-coding RNA (EGUI_LNC020963)". Lineage: Eukaryota; Viridiplantae; Streptophyta; Magnoliopsida; Arecales; Arecaceae. The record is from RNAcentral.